CGCGGCCUAUCAGCUUGUUGGUGAGGUAAUGGCACACCAAGGCGUCGACGGGUAGCCGGCCUGAGAGGGUGACCGGCCACACUGGGACUGAGACACGGCCCAGACUCCUACGGGAGGCAGCAGUGGGGAAUAUUGCACAAUGGGCGCAAGCCUGAUGCAGCAACGCCGCGUGCGGGAUGACGGCCUUCGGGUUGUAAACCGCUUUUAGUAGGGAAGAAGCCUUCGGGUGACGGUACCUGCAGAAAAAGGACCGGCUAACUACGUGCCAGCAGCCGCGGUAAUACGUAGGGUCCGAGCGUUGUCCGGAAUUAUUGGGCGUAAAGAGCUCGUAGGCGGUUUGUCGCGUCUGCUGUGAAAACUAGAGGCUCAACCUCUAGCCUGCAGUGGGUACGGGCAGACUUGAGUGGUGUAGGGGAGACUGGAAUUCCUGGUGUAGCGGUGGAAUGCGCAGAUAUCAGGAGGAACACCGAUGGCGAAGGCAGGUCUCUGGGCACUUACUGACGCUGAGGAGCGAAAGCGUGGGGAGCGAACAGGAUUAGAUACCCUGGUAGUCCACGCCGUAAACGGUGGGCACUAGGUGUGGGGACCUUUCCACGGUUUCCGUGUCGUAGCUAACGCAUUAAGCGCCCCGCC
This 633-nucleotide ribosomal RNA is filed under the name uncultured Actinomycetes bacterium. Its description in RNAcentral is "bacterial SSU rRNA". It matches the Rfam family "Bacterial small subunit ribosomal RNA", at positions 232 to 873 of the family's 1533-position model. The record is from RNAcentral. Lineage: Bacteria; Bacillati; Actinomycetota; Actinomycetes.